CGUGUAGGCGGCACAGAAAGCCUGAUGUGAAAUACCCCGGCUCAACUGGGGAAACGCAUUGGGAACUACUGAGCUAGAGUCUAGGAGGGGAAGCUGGAAUUCCUAGUGUAGGGGUGAAAUCUGUAGAUAUCAGGAAGAACACCGGUGGCGAAGGCGAGCUUCUGGCCAUAGACUGACGCUGAGGCGCGAAAGCGUGGGGAGCGAACAGGAUUAGAUACCCUGGUAGUCC
This 229-nucleotide ribosomal RNA is filed under the name uncultured bacterium. RNAcentral describes it as "partial 16S ribosomal RNA". It matches the Rfam family "Bacterial small subunit ribosomal RNA", at positions 568 to 796 of the family's 1533-position model. The record is from RNAcentral.